This 503-nucleotide ribosomal RNA is filed under the name uncultured bacterium. RNAcentral describes it as "bacterial SSU rRNA". It matches the Rfam family "Bacterial small subunit ribosomal RNA", at positions 29 to 510 of the family's 1533-position model. The record is from RNAcentral.
AACGAACGCUGGCGGCGUGGAUAAGACAUGCAAGUCGAACGGGAUUACUGGUGUAACAAUACAUCAGUAAUCUAGUGGCGUAAGGGUGCGUAACACGUGGGGAAUCUGCCGAGAAGUGGGGGAUAGCUCGCCGAAAGGCGAAUUAAUACCGCAUGUGACUACCAGAGACAUCUUUGGAACGUCAAAGCCGGGGCGAACCUGGCGCUUCUUGAUGACCCCGCGGCCUAUCAGCUAGUUGGUAAGGUAACGGCUUACCAAGGCUAUGACGGGUAGCUGGUCUGAGAGGACGACCAGCCACACUGGAACUGAGACACGGUCCAGACACCUACGGGUGGCAGCAGUCGAGAAUUUUUCUCAAUGGGGGAAACCCUGAAGGAGCGACGCCGCGUGGAGGAUGAAGGUCUUCGGAUUGUAAACUCCUGUCAUUUGGGAACAAUUGCUACGCGUUAACUGCGCGGAGCUUGAUAGUACCAGAAGAGGAAGAGACGGCUAACUCUGUGCCA